UAGGGAAUCUUCGGCAAUGGACGAAAGUCUGACCGAGCAACGCCGCGUGAGUGAAGAAGGUUUUCGGAUCGUAAAACUCUGUUGGUAGAGAAGAGCGUUGGUGAGAGUGGAAAGCUCAUCAAGUGACGGUAACUACCCAGAAAGGGACGGCUAACUACGUGCCAG
This 165-nucleotide ribosomal RNA is filed under the name uncultured bacterium. RNAcentral describes it as "partial 16S rRNA". It matches the Rfam family "Bacterial small subunit ribosomal RNA", at positions 355 to 511 of the family's 1533-position model. The record is from RNAcentral.